This 492-nucleotide ribosomal RNA is filed under the name uncultured bacterium. RNAcentral's name for it is "partial 16S ribosomal RNA". It matches the Rfam family "Bacterial small subunit ribosomal RNA", at positions 30 to 507 of the family's 1533-position model. The record is from RNAcentral.
AUUGAACGCUGGCGGCAUGCUUUACACAUGCAAGUCGAACGGUAACAGGCCUUCGGGUGCUGACGAGUGGCGAACGGGUGAGUAAUGCAUCGGAACGUGCCCAGAGGUGAGGGAUAACGCAGCGAAAGCUGUGCUAAUACCGCAUGUGAUCUGAGGAUGAAAGCGGGGGACCAGGCAGCAAUGUUUGGCCUCGCGCCUUUGGAGCGGCCGAUGUCAGAUUAGGUAGUUGGUGGGGUAAAGGCCUACCAAGCCGACGAUCUGUAGCUGGUCUGAGAGGACGACCAGCCACACUGGGACUGAGACACGGCCCAGACUCCUACGGGAGGCAGCAGUGGGGAAUUUUGGACAAUGGGCGCAAGCCUGAUCCAGCAAUGCCGCGUGCGGGAAGAAGGCCUUCGGGUUGUAAACCGCUUUUGUACGGAACGAAAAGGCUCUGGCUAAUACCUGGGGCUGAUGACGGUACCGUAAGAAUAAGCACCGGCUAACUACGUG